Molecule: long non-coding RNA, 355 nt
Filed under: Nicotiana benthamiana
Lineage: Eukaryota; Viridiplantae; Streptophyta; Magnoliopsida; Solanales; Solanaceae
Description: long non-coding RNA (NBEN_LNC028052)
Source: RNAcentral
AUACAAAAUAUACACUACUUAUACACAAUAUAUACUAAUUACCAAACACAAUAUAUACUAUACUAAUAACAUAGUACAUCAUAUAAAAUAUAUUUUACAAUAUACUAAUGACUACUAUACAAGAUAUUGAUUUUAAAAAUAAAAAUAAAAAUUCAGAACCGCCGGAACCGGAACCGCAUGGUACUUGGAACCGUCACGGGCCGGUUCCACCUUCAGAACCGCCGGAACCGCCAGAACCGGAACCGCCAGAACCGGAACCGGAUGGUACCCGGAACCGUCACGGGCCGGUUCCACCUUCAGAACCGCCAGAAUCGGAACCACCAGAACCGGAACUGCCAAAACCGCAACCGCAGAC